This 392-nucleotide ribosomal RNA is filed under the name uncultured bacterium. RNAcentral describes it as "bacterial SSU rRNA". It matches the Rfam family "Bacterial small subunit ribosomal RNA", at positions 32 to 413 of the family's 1533-position model. The record is from RNAcentral.
AAUCAACGCUGGCGGCGUGCCUCAGACAUGCAAGUCGAACGAUUAAGACUCUCUUCGGAGAGUGUAUAAAGUGGCGCACGGGUGAGUAACACGUAGGUAAUGUACCGAAGGGUGGGGAAUAACUUAGGGAAACUUAAGCUAAUACCGCAUAAUGCAGCGGCUCGACAUCGAGACAGUUGUUAAAGGAGCAAUCCGCCUUUUGAGCAGCCUGCGGCAGAUUAGCUAGUUGGUAAGGUAAUGGCUUACCAAGGCUACGAUCUGUAACCGACCUGAGAGGGUGGUCGGUCACACUGACACUGAAUAACGGGUCAGACUCCUACGGAGGCAGCAGUCGGGAAUUUUGGGUCGAAUGGCGAAAGACCUGACCCAGCAACGCCGCGUGAAGGAUGAAG